CAGCAGCCGCGGUAAUACCAGCACCUCGAGUGGUCAGGAGGUUUAUUGGGCCUAAAGCAUCCGUAGCCGGUUGCAUAAGUUUUCGGUUAAAUCUAUGCGCUUAACGUAUAGGCCGCCGAAAAUACUAUGCAGCUAGGGAGUGGGAGAGGUACACGGUACUCGAUAGGAAGGGGUAAAAUCCUUUGAUCUAUUGAUGACCACCUGUGGCGAAGGCGGUGUACCAGAACACGUUCGACGGUGAGGGAUGAAAGCUGGGGGAGCAAACCGGAUUAGAUACCCCCGUAGUCCCUGUCUCUUAUAA
This 301-nucleotide ribosomal RNA is filed under the name uncultured bacterium. RNAcentral describes it as "partial 16S ribosomal RNA". It matches the Rfam family "Archaeal small subunit ribosomal RNA", at positions 459 to 760 of the family's 1478-position model. The record is from RNAcentral.